Molecule: ribosomal RNA, 405 nt
Filed under: uncultured bacterium
Lineage: Bacteria
Description: partial 16S ribosomal RNA
Rfam family: Bacterial small subunit ribosomal RNA
Source: RNAcentral
GACGAACGCUGGCGGCGUGCUUAACACAUGCAAGUCGAGCGGAGCGGCGAACGGGUGAGUAACGCGUGAGUAACUGCCCCCCUCUCUGGGAUAACAGUUGGAAACGGCUGCUAAUACCGGAUAGUGGGGGAUGAAUCGCGUCCUAUUAGCUUGUUGGUGGGGUAGUGGCAUACCAAGGCGACGACGGGUAGCCGGCCUGAGAGGGCGACCGGCCACCUUGGUCUUGGGUACGGCCCAAACUCCGUCGGGAGGCAGCAGUGGGGAAUAUUGCACAAUGGGGGAAACCCUUAUGCAGCAACGCCGCGUGCGUGAUGACUGCCUUCGGGUUGUAAACCGCUUUCAUCCUUGACGCGGUAGUGGCAGAAGAAGCACCGGCUAACUACGUGCCAGCAGCCGCGGUAAUAC